This 321-nucleotide long non-coding RNA is filed under the name Theobroma cacao (cacao). Its description in RNAcentral is "long non-coding RNA (TCAC_LNC003493)". Lineage: Eukaryota; Viridiplantae; Streptophyta; Magnoliopsida; Malvales; Malvaceae. The record is from RNAcentral.
UUUAUUUGAAUAUGAUGUGUCUCAUGAUCUAUCUGAGUUGGACUUAGAUUUUGCUUGGUUGUGUCAGCUUAUCAGUUUUUCUAUUGAUGUGAAGGAUGUUUUUGUGUUCUAGAUAGUUAUGGUAUGCAUUUUGGAUGUCAAGGUGAUUGUGGGUUGAAAUGGAGCGGUGUGAGAGCCGCUUGUUCUUUCCAUUUCAAUGUUUUAUAGCUUUUGGUGCGUUUUAAGUGUUGUUAUUGUACGAAGUGGUUUGAUUUUCGAUUGCUUUGAUUUGUUCUUCCCUGUUGCUGGGUUAGUGAUUGUUUGAUAACCCCCCAAUUAUUA